This 428-nucleotide ribosomal RNA is filed under the name uncultured bacterium. Its description in RNAcentral is "bacterial SSU rRNA". It matches the Rfam family "Bacterial small subunit ribosomal RNA", at positions 355 to 774 of the family's 1533-position model. The record is from RNAcentral.
UGGGGAAUCUUGCGCAAUGGGCGAAAGCCUGACGCAGCAACGCCGCGUGUGUGAUGAAGGCCUUCGGGUUGUAAAGCACUGUCAAGAGGGAAGAAACCGUGUUCGGUGAAUAGCCGGGCAUUGUGACGGUACCUUUGAAGGAAGCACCGGCUAACUCCGUGCCAGCAGCCGCGGCAAUACGGAGGGUGCAAGCGUGGUUCGGAAUUAUUGGGCGUAAAGCGCGUGUAGGUGGACAGGUAAGUCGGGUGUGAAAGCCCGGGGCUCAACCCCGGAACUGCGCUCGAAACUGCUUGUCUUGAGUACGGGAGGGGGAAGUGGAAUUCUUGGUGUAGGGGUGAAAUCCGUAGAUAUCAGGAGGAACACCAACGGCGAAGGCAACUUCCUGGACCGAUACUGACACUGAGACGCGAAAGCGUGGGGAGCAAACA